Manis javanica (Malayan pangolin) is the source of this 212-nucleotide non-coding RNA. NCBI's taxonomy places the organism in Eukaryota, Metazoa, Chordata, Mammalia, Pholidota, Manidae. The record is from RefSeq and is a predicted model, not a curated record.
GGAACGGGCAGGGAUCCCACAAGCCUUUGCACGGCCUCCGAGAGCCCGGGCCGCCCACGCUCUUCGCGAGCGCUCAGGCCGCCGGGAAAGCCAACGAGACUAGGCUUUCUAAGACAGCAUGCACAUCAUCUGGGUUCACCAUAGUCACGAUGCAACCCCCUGCGAUAUCAGUGAAUACUUGUCACAAGAAUAAACGAGCUUAAUGAAUGACA